AAUGAAGUGCCUGAAAAAGGAUUAUCUUGAUAGGAUAAAUUAUACACAAUAAAUUGUGUCUUUAUUA
Molecule: transfer RNA, 67 nt
Filed under: Bullanga florida
Lineage: Eukaryota; Metazoa; Arthropoda; Insecta; Neuroptera; Myrmeleontidae
Description: tRNA-Ile
Source: RNAcentral